Molecule: non-coding RNA, 24 nt
Filed under: Cricetulus griseus (Chinese hamster)
Lineage: Eukaryota; Metazoa; Chordata; Mammalia; Rodentia; Cricetidae
Source: RNAcentral
UAUGAGAGAUUCCUCAGGAGUGAG